RNAcentral lists this ribosomal RNA (505 nucleotides) under uncultured bacterium. Its description in RNAcentral is "partial 16S ribosomal RNA". It matches the Rfam family "Bacterial small subunit ribosomal RNA", at positions 28 to 507 of the family's 1533-position model. The record is from RNAcentral.
GACGAACGCUGGCGGCGUGCCUAAUACAUGCAAGUAGAACGCACAGUUUAUACCGUAGCUUGCUACACCAUAGACUGUGAGUUGCGAACGGGUGAGUAACGCGUAGGUAACCUGCCUGGUAGCGGGGGAUAACUAUUGGAAACGAUAGCUAAUACCGCAUAAUAUUGAUUAUUGCAUGAUAAUUGAUUGAAAGAUGCUAUUGCAUCACUACCAGAUGGACCUGCGUUGUAUUAGCUAGUAGGUGAGGUAACGGCUCACCUAGGCGACGAUACAUAGCCGACCUGAGAGGGUGAUCGGCCACACUGGGACUGAGACACGGCCCAGACUCCUACGGGAGGCAGCAGUAGGGAAUCUUCGGCAAUGGACGAAAGUCUGACCGAGCAACGCCGCGUGAGUGAAGGAGGUUGUCGGAUCGUAAAGCUCUGUUGUAAGAGAAGAACGGGUGUGAGAGUGGAAAGUUCACACUGUGACGGUAUCUUACCAGAAAGGGACGGCUAACUACGUG